This 1168-nucleotide ribosomal RNA is filed under the name Bordetella holmesii. RNAcentral describes it as "partial 23S ribosomal RNA". It matches the Rfam family "Bacterial large subunit ribosomal RNA", at positions 1 to 1215 of the family's 2925-position model. The record is from RNAcentral. Lineage: Bacteria; Pseudomonadati; Pseudomonadota; Betaproteobacteria; Burkholderiales; Alcaligenaceae.
GAUCAAGCGACUAAGUGCAUAUGGUGGAUGCCUUGGCGAUCACAGGCGAUGAAGGACGUAGUAGCCUGCGAAAAGCUGCGGGGAGCUGGCAAACAAGCAUUGAUCCGCAGAUAUCCGAAUGGGGAAACCCACCGCGCAAGCGGUAUCCCUGGCUGAAUACAUAGGCCAGUGGAGGCGAACCGGGUGAACUGAAACAUCUCAGUAGCUCGAGGAAAAGAAAUCAACCGAGAUUCCGAAAGUAGUGGCGAGCGAAAUCGGAAGAGCCUUUACGAUUUAGCAUUUUGCAUAGUCGAACGGAAUGGAAAGUCCGGCCGUAGCAGGUGAUAGCCCUGUAGACGAAAUGCAGAGUGUGGAACUAGGCGUAAGAGAAGUAGGGCGGGACACGUGAAAUCCUGUCUGAAGAUGGGGGGACCAUCCUCCAAGGCUAAAUACUCGUGAUCGACCGAUAGUGAACCAGUACCGUGAGGGAAAGGCGAAAAGAACCCCGGAAGGGGAGUGAAAUAGAUCCUGAAACCGUAUGCAUACAAACAGUCGGAGCCUCUUUAUGGGGUGACGGCGUACCUUUUGUAUAAUGGGUCAGCGACUUACAUUCAGUGGCGAGCUUAACCGAAUAGGGAAGGCGUAGCGAAAGCGAGUCCGAAUAGGGCGUCCAGUCGCUGGGUGUAGACCCGAAACCAGAUGAUCUACCCAUGGCCAGGUUGAAGGCACGGUAACACGUGCUGGAGGACCGAACCCACUAGUGUUGAAAAACUAGGGGAUGAGCUGUGGAUAGGGGUGAAAGGCUAAACAAAUCUGGAAAUAGCUGGUUCUCUCCGAAAACUAUUUAGGUAGUGCCUCAAGUAUUACUGCAGGGGGUAGAGCACUGUUAUGGCUAGGGGGUCAUGGCGACUUACCAAACCAUGGCAAACUCCGAAUACCUGCAAGUACAGCUUGGGAGACAGAGCACCGGGUGCUAACGUCCGGACUCAAGAGGGAAACAACCCAGACCGCCAGCUAAGGUCCCGAAUUAUCGCUAAGUGGGAAACGAAGUGGGAAGGCAUAGACAGUCAGGAGGUUGGCUUAGAAGCAGCCACCCUUUAAAGAAAGCGUAAUAGCUCACUGAUCGAGUCGUCCUGCGCGGAAGAUGUAACGGGGCUAAGCGAUAAACCGAAGCUGCGGGUGUGUACUA